AAAUGUUGGGUUAAGUCCCGCAACGAGCGCAACCCUUAUCCUUUGUUGCCAGCGGUUAGGCCGGGAACUCAAAGGAGACUGCCAGUGAUAAACUGGAGGAAGGUGGGGAUGACGUCAAGUCAUCAUGGCCCUUACGAGUAGGGCUACACACGUGCUACAAUGGCGCAUACAAAGAGAAGCGACCUCGCGAGAGCAAGCGGACCUCAUAAAGUGCGUCGUAGUCCGGAUUGGAGUCUGCAACUCGACUCCAUGAAGUCGGAAUCGCUAGUAAUCGUGGAUCAGAAUGCCACGGUGAAUACGUUCCUGGGUCUUG
This 313-nucleotide ribosomal RNA is filed under the name uncultured Enterobacter sp. RNAcentral describes it as "bacterial SSU rRNA". It matches the Rfam family "Bacterial small subunit ribosomal RNA", at positions 1070 to 1383 of the family's 1533-position model. Lineage: Bacteria; Pseudomonadati; Pseudomonadota; Gammaproteobacteria; Enterobacterales; Enterobacteriaceae. The record is from RNAcentral.